CUUCCUUCCCUCCUUCCCUCCUUCCUUUCUUCCUUCCGAGAAAAUCGAAAAUCUUCUCUCGAGCAACAGUGAAUGAAAUCGCACGGAUCGAGCGAGCUCGCGAUACUAAAAAAGAAGAAGAAGAAGAGAUACCGAAUUGUUGCACAGAGGAGAUCGUGCAACGUUGUUAUUCAAGAAUAUCGAUGUCUCCUUUGACCCUGGAUGGAACUGAGACCGCAAAACCGGUGAUGAAACAAAUAAUCGACGCUCGGGAAGAAGAUCGAAUUGCUCGAUGAUCCAAGCUUUUGCGCGCUAUUAUCGAUUAUUAUCCAGUAAGCCGCGAUUAAAUCCACUUAAAUCCGGACGAAUCUGGAAAAAUUCCAACGAACCGUAUCCUCCGAGUUAAUCCAAUCAACGGUUUGUGUCAAGUUUGAUAACGGUUUGAUAAUUUAAUAAGCUUUCGCCCGCUUUCGUCGUCGCCUAUCAACUUUCGAUUAAUUUAUCCCCGUACGUUGAUCCAAGAGAUUACAUCGCUGUAUCGAUUAUCCAUAAGUCGCUCCGUUAAAUCCAAACGAAUUUUCAGUUUCCAACGAACAAACCGCAUCCUCCAACUUCGAUCCAACUUGUGUGUCCAGUUUGAUUAUUAAUUACAAAUCAAGUUACGAUUUAAUAAAGUUUCUCUCGCUUUCGUCCACCACGAACCGAGUCGAGUCGUCGUUGCGUUGUAGAUCCACUUUCGAUUAAUUAUUUUAUCCUCCUCUCUCUCUCUCUUUUUGUUUUCUUCCUGCCGUAGAAAUAAAUGAACGAACGAGAGAUAUGAACGACGGAGUUUUUGCCACGGGAGACUCGCUUGAGACGAGAACAACACGAGACUGGUAUAAAGUGAGUCAAGUGAGCGGCGAACCGAUCUUCCGGUAAGUUUGCACGAAGGAGGUGGUGGAGCCGGUGCUAUUAACCGUCUACCGGAGGAGGCUGGUCUAGCUCGGGUUUUCACGGUGUUCGGUGAAAGUGGUUAAGGUUUUCGUUCGACGUGCGAGCGAGCAUCGCGUUUGUUCCACGGAGGAAAACGUUCUCUCGUCUCUUCUUUCUCGCCCAAUUACAGUCGAUUUCGAUCUUUGAACGAGUUUCGACUUUCUAUGGAGCAUAUGUGUGCGCGCGUGUCGUUCGAGUCAAAAGCAUGUAAAUUGUUUUUUUUUUAAAAUGGUUACGUGUCUUCGUGCGUGGGUAUUUGAUACGCGAGGAAGAGUGAUUCGUAGUUUUUUUUGUUGUUGUUGAUAUUAUUAUUAUUAUUAUGAAUUUGAUUAAUAAUGCCAGUUUGGAAAGUAACGAUUCGAAAUUCGCGAACUUUCGAGAAUAAGACUCAUCCUGAUGAAAUUUUCUGGGUUUAGAAACUUCUCCGCUUUAUUAAACUUUCACGAGUGUAGAUAAACGAAAAAAAACGUAACUGUAACUGUAAAAAUCGAGAAAACGGACAAGUUUACGAGAAUCUUGUUUCUCUCGUGAACUGUUUGAAAAGGUUUGCUCGUUCAUUGUAGGCCUCGUAAUCGUCCCUCUGGCGAUCCUCGUUCGUAAAAAUACCUUUGGAAACGGGUCUUAAAAUUGACGUAGCUGAAGAUGGCGUAGCUCUCUCUAUAGGUCGUACGCAAAGCGUCACGCUUGGCUGCCCAUGCGAAUCUUUUGACCCACGGUUACGGGUCUGGCUUUUAAAGGUGCAAUGAUACGUUAUCUCGAGAUGUUAGAGUCAUCGUCGUCGCGCUCUUUCACGAAAACUGGUUCACGAAUAUAUAAAAAAUAUUCUUUCGCUCGCGAAGAAAAAAAGAACAUCGUUUCCUUUCACGUUAAAUGAUGGAUCGCGCGCAAAUUUAUUUUAUCAAGCAACUCGAUGUCUCGAAUAUUUUCAAUAUUUCGAUUUAAAUUCGCGUUAAAUCUCGUUUCGAUCUUUCUUUUCCAUCGAGCUCUCCCCUCUCUCCUUCUUUAAAAUUUUACGCGCCGAAUUAUGCCACGCUCUAUCUGACGGUUGCAUCGAUCGUCCCCUCCUCCCCCCGUGGCGACAUCCGUUUCCUGUUCCCCUAUUUUCCAUACAAUGGCACCGUCCACGAAUAUGGAUCGUCUGUGCGUUUAACGAGACGACUCUCGCUAUCGGGACCCUGAAACGGGGUUGUAAGCCUCAUCGACCUUAUUUUCCGUGUCAAUAAUCCAGAAAAUAAUCCGCGCGAAAUAUCUCGUGUGAAAUUGUUCGCGGCAUUUUUCUCCCCUCUCUCUCUCUCUCUCUCUCCUUUCUCUCUAACGGCAAACUGAAAACUAUUUUUGUGAAAAAAAGUUCCAUUUUCUUCUUCUUCUUUUUUUUUUCCUCUCUUUCUCAUCGAAUCCGAUUCUCUCAUCUCCUCUUCUCGAAAUGUGGGUUAAAUUAAAACGGGAUCCCCGAUUUUCAACGUUAUUUAACGUUGACGUAAUUGGAAUCGAUGCGUGAAGCCUCGUCGUUCCCGGGGGGAAAAAAAGAGAAGGAAAAAAGGAGAGCGAAUCUCUGUGUUUUUCCUUCCAACUCUCCUAGGAUUAAUUGGGUUAAUUGAAGUUCGAAGAAACUUUUUUCACGGUUAAAGUUAAAGAGGAGAUCGUUUCUUUUCGAGAACGAAAAUAUUAGAUGGAAUGAUAUAAUUCUUCAAGCUGAUAAUUUUCAGAAUUACUCGCCAAUCUCAUUCGAAUAAAAAUUCAUUAUCCAAUCAUCAUCGUUUUGAUCAAUCGACCAACCAAAAAAUUUUUUCCUUCGUUCCAAGUUUCUCGCUCUGGAUCGAUGUCUCUCUCUCUCUCUCCUAUCUAAGCGUGCGCGCCUCACACACGCCCACCUCAUCCUUUUCCGAUUUUAUUCGAGGCGAUCGAGCGAGAGUUUAUCAGGCGUGCAACGUUUAUGAAUACACGCUCUCGGUAUAUCUCGGCCUUCGGACGAAAAUCGAUUCAAUCUCGUCUCAUCGCGUGAACGUUCAUUCAAUUUUUAUCGUUGCACCGUUUUUCUUUCUUUCUUUUUUUUUCUUCUUAUCCGUGAGAACAUCGGCCAUCUGGACGCGAAAUUGUUACUUUUUUCCCCCUCCUCCCUUCCUCCUCGCCUCUCUCCCGUUAAUUAUUUUCCUUCCCUCGAGCGGCGCAAUUACGUUCCUCCACCUUUUGCUCGUGCAACACACGAGUUCCCGCGAAUUUUCCAUUCCCUUAACGAUCAUGUUUACAAGAGUUAUGAUGGAUAAUUCCCAUGCCGGCUCCUUACUUCGCUGUCUCUCUUCUUCUUUCUUAUGUUCAUUUACUUUAAUCGAUCGAUAUUUAUCGUCCUAUUCCCCGGUUUCUCUCCUCUUUUGAUAACGCGAAUGAUAAAAAUAGCUUGGUGGAGAUAACGUUGAGAUACGUUUUGUAUUUCGUGUGUCAAUGAUCUGGAUAGAGUAUAUAGCAUAGGUUUUUCGAAAUUUGUAAGAUUUUUUCGAGUCUCGUCGAAUUCGAAAGAAAGAAAUGGGUGGGUGGGUUGACCUACGUUUGAGUUACGUCAUCGUGCGUAAUCAUUGCAUCCAUCUCGACGAGCAUUGCUCAAACACACCCAUCCAGCAGUAUUUCUUUGAAUAUAUCUGCAUUUCUACGGAAACAUGCAGUGCGAUAUGAGAUAAAAAUUUAAUAUUUUCACAGCUGGAUGAAAGAUUUCGCGAGUUAAGAAGAAGUUACGAGUGUUUCUUUUUUCUUUCUAUUCGCAGGAAGAAAUUAUUUUGCGCGUCUGAUCAAAAUCUUGGAGUGAAGAAGUUACCAGCUCUUAAAUGAGAUUCGAUCGCGUCCAGAUCGAUUUUCGGCAUCGCUGUUUCGAUAUUGUAGACAUCGAAGCCGCCUUCCAUGGAAAAAAAAAAUCACAGAUUUGCAACACGAUGAACAUUGCACGAUGAAUAUUUGCGGUUUAUACUCGUGUACACACCGUGAAAUUUGAAGAGGGACGAGCAUGAGAAUACUCGGGAGGAAGAAGCGUAAAUGAGAA
Long non-coding RNA from Apis mellifera (honey bee), 3979 nucleotides. RefSeq lists it as uncharacterized. Lineage: Eukaryota; Metazoa; Arthropoda; Insecta; Hymenoptera; Apidae. The record is from RefSeq and is a predicted model, not a curated record. The transcript is spliced from 3 exons.